RNAcentral lists this long non-coding RNA (363 nucleotides) under Homo sapiens (human). RNAcentral's name for it is "non-protein coding lnc-ACBD6-3:1". Lineage: Eukaryota; Metazoa; Chordata; Mammalia; Primates; Hominidae. The record is from RNAcentral.
GGCAGUUCCUGGGCUCCCGCGGAGCGAUGAGACGUUGUGAAUUAGAUGGUCCCAGGAACUCACAGUAUGCUCUAAAAAGGAGAGGGGCAAGAGCUCUGAGUGAGUACAUCCCGUUGGCCCGUGGGAUUUCUUGCCCUAUGGAAAGGAACAUGGACGGAAGAGAAUCAGGUGCUCAGAGCCCUAGACUGGGGCUCCUCUUGCCCCAGUCUUGAGGCAGUUCUAAAGAGCAGCCUCUGGAACCAGAAUGGACGGUCCUCUAGUAACGCUGGAUUCUAUGGGUUGGAAGUACUGCAGCGGCUGGAUCAGGUUCCAGUAAAGUUUUGUACCUUCAAAUGUCUCUGUUGUUAAACAGUGUUGUAGUUA